This 448-nucleotide long non-coding RNA is filed under the name Bos taurus (domestic cattle). Its description in RNAcentral is "long non-coding RNA NONBTAT006593". Lineage: Eukaryota; Metazoa; Chordata; Mammalia; Artiodactyla; Bovidae. The record is from RNAcentral.
CUUUAUUAUGUCUUAGUAUUUUGACAUGGUCAAGUGUUAUCAUUGUGUUUACUGAAUGAAAUUAUUGUUUGCAAAAGCAUACUGACCGAUCAGAAAGCAGACUCCUUGCAACAUCUGUAUCUGGUGUACGCAAGGCAGUCUUUUGUGGAAAAGUUAUCCAGUGGGCCCUGCCCACAUCUCUUUCCCUUUUGGCACAGACAUGGUGCUUUACUUUAGUUAGAGAGAGAAGUGAAAAGCUGAUCAGCUGAAUUAGGCCAGAAUCACUAUACUCCAGAACAAGUAUCAAUUAUGAGCAGGCCCUAACUCUAUUCAAAUACUCACCCUGAAUGGAAAAAAAAGAAAAGCAACAACAACAACCAGGAAGAAACCUCCCUAACGGGGAGGGUCACUCAGCAAAGACUGUGAAUCAGUAACUCUCGAUCACUGCUCAUUUGAUGGGGAAAAAUUC